Molecule: ribosomal RNA, 254 nt
Filed under: uncultured bacterium
Lineage: Bacteria
Description: partial 16S ribosomal RNA
Rfam family: Bacterial small subunit ribosomal RNA
Source: RNAcentral
UACGUAGGGCGCAAGCGUUGUCCGGAAUUAUUGGGCGUAAAGAGCUCGUAGGCGGUUUGGCAAGUCUGGGGUGAAAUCUCCACGCUCAACGUGGAGGGGCCACCCGAUACUGCCAUGACUGGAGUCCGGUAGAGGAGUGUGGAAUUCCCGGUGUAGCGGUGAAAUGCGCAGAUAUCGGGAGGAACACCCGUAGCGAAGGCGGCACUCUGGGCCGGUACUGACGCUGAGGAGCGAAAGCGUGGGGAGCAAACAGG